RNAcentral lists this long non-coding RNA (272 nucleotides) under Mytilus galloprovincialis (Mediterranean mussel). The record is from RNAcentral. Lineage: Eukaryota; Metazoa; Mollusca; Bivalvia; Mytilida; Mytilidae.
AAGAAAAAUUUUCCUCAAAAUAAGUCAAUUUUUUGAAUGACGUCAUUGUUUGGUAUUUGACGUCACGAACGUCAAGUUUUCAUAUUUUUUGGCACACUAAAUGCAACUAUAAAAAAUACGAAACACACAAAUAAAUACAAUAAUAAACAAAAUAUUUUUAAAACAACAGCACACAAAUUGUAAGGUAACCCAGGUGCUUCGGAUAAGUAAUUGGGCAGUUCUUUUAAGGCCUUUGAAACAAGACAAAAGUAGAACUGAAGGUAACCCAGUGC